Molecule: ribosomal RNA, 919 nt
Filed under: Bryoria sp. Hermansson 12625
Lineage: Eukaryota; Fungi; Ascomycota; Lecanoromycetes; Lecanorales; Parmeliaceae
Description: SSU rRNA
Rfam family: Bacterial small subunit ribosomal RNA
Source: RNAcentral
UUUCGCUCUUAGAAGUUUGUAUCUCGUGUGUGGUAGUAGUCAGGAUUAAAAGCCUAACUAGCUAAACGCACGCAGUCGUAACCGAAAGGUUGAUCGACCACAGUGGGCCUGAACAAAGCCCAUGACGAUUGUCACAGCAGUGAGGAAUAUUGGUCAAUAGCCUAACGGCUGAACCAGCAACUUGGAGGAAUGUAUAGCAAUAGCUACUUGUAUCAUUGUAGGUAUGAUGCAAGAUCGACUUGGUCGAAUAAAAUUCUAGGUAGAAUUAUGAUAAUGACAUUGUCUGCCUAUGUGUCUUGACCAAAUUACGUGCCAGCUGUCGCGGUAAUACGUAGAAGACUAGUGUUAUUCAUGUUUAGUCGGUUUAAAGGGUACCUAGACGGUAAAUCAAGCCUACAAAUAAAUGAAGGGACUAUUUUGCUAGAGUUACUUACGAGGGGGUUUUAAAGUACUGCUGGUGUAGAGAUGAAAUUCUGUAAUACCUCUUUUCAAUUGAAAAAUAAUGGCACAGGUAUAGGCGAAGGCAUCCCCUUAUGUGAUAACUGACGUUGAGGGACGAAGGCUUUGUGUAGCGAACAGGAUUAGAUACCCCAGUAGUCAAAGCAGAAAAUGAUNAAUGUCAUAGAUUAGACGUCUAAGUUUAUUCUAUAAAUGAAAGUGUAAGCAUUCCACCUCAAGAGUAAUUUGGCAACAUUGGAACUGAAAUCAUUAGNCCGUUUCUGAAACCAGUAGUGAAGUNUGUUGUUUAAUUUGAUGCCACGCAAAAAACCUUANCACAAUUUGAANAUUUAUNNUUNUUUUUUANUAUUGUUUUAUUUUUAAUUUUCUUAAUGGACUAUNAUAGAACUAUAUUAAAUUAGAUUAUUNAAAAUNAAGGCAAUAAGAUAUAUUUACAAGUGNNGCACGGCUGUCUUCAGUU